RNAcentral lists this long non-coding RNA (201 nucleotides) under Vigna radiata. Its description in RNAcentral is "long non-coding RNA (VRAD_LNC001456)". The record is from RNAcentral. Lineage: Eukaryota; Viridiplantae; Streptophyta; Magnoliopsida; Fabales; Fabaceae.
GAAAAAGUGUGGUGGAACUAAGAAAUGGGUCAUCUGAAGAUGGGAAGGCCCAGUCUCAUGUUUUUGGAAAAUAAAUUAAGGGCUCUUGGUGGACCAAGCCCACUCCACCUUGCAAUGAGUAAAGCCCAGGAAUGCAUGCCUUCAAUUAUAAAAUUAUGAUCCCAUUAAAAUGCUAAAAUAUAUUAUAAAUUAAAAUAAAAC